Ceratotherium simum simum (southern white rhinoceros) is the source of this 149-nucleotide non-coding RNA. The record is from RefSeq and is a predicted model, not a curated record. NCBI's taxonomy places the organism in Eukaryota, Metazoa, Chordata, Mammalia, Perissodactyla, Rhinocerotidae.
AAAACUGUAUUGAGAGACAAUGACAGGCAUUACAUAAUGAUCAAGGGAACCAUCCAACAAGAGGCUAUAAUACUUGUAAAUAGCUACGCACCCAAUGUAGGUGCACCUAAAUAUAUAAAGCAAUUAUUAACAGACAUAAAAACAGAAAU